This 396-nucleotide transfer-messenger RNA is filed under the name Flavobacteriales. RNAcentral describes it as "GCA-2746335 sp002746335 Standard tmRNA". It matches the Rfam family "transfer-messenger RNA". Rfam says of the family: Bacterial tmRNA, also known as 10Sa RNA or SsrA, is named for its dual tRNA and mRNA-like properties. Lineage: Bacteria; Pseudomonadati; Bacteroidota; Flavobacteriia. RNAcentral also lists the same sequence under 2 other names. The record is from RNAcentral.
GGGGCCGACUGGUUUUGACAGCAAGAUGAGCGGUUGUGCAAGCAUGUCGGGCGUUGUGCAUUUGCCUGUCAAAUCAAUGCUCAAGCCAUUAAUUGGCGACUAUAACUACGCACUCGCGGCUUAAUCCCUAAGGGAAAGAGCUUAAUUCCAGUUCUGCUAGGCGGGACGGAACGAGUAUCCCGCGCAAUUGUAAGUCCUACGCUUUUGCCAGUAUGGGGUAUCAUUUGCAAGGACUAAUUCUAUCAAUGGUUCGAUGGUAGAGUGAAAUUUAGAACCUAAGUUGAAAGUAGGGUGUUUGUGUCCGGCUUUUGGUCGAAAAUCAACCACAAACUAAGCAUGUAGAAACCAUAACGGUUCCUUGUUUGGACGAGGGUUCGAAUCCCUCCGGCUCCACUA